UACGAGAGCCUCGAGCGUUAUCCGGAAUUAUUGGGCGUAAAGGGUGCGUAGGUUGUUCUGUUAGUCUUUUGUUAAAACCCGGGGCUUAACCUCGGGAGUGCGGGAGAAACGGCAGGACUAGAAAGUGUGAGAGGCGUACGGAACUCAUGGUGUAGGGGUGAAAUCCGUUGAUAUCAUGGGGAACACCAAAUGCGAAGGCAGUACGCUGGCGCAUAUUUGACACUGAAGCACGAAAGCGUGGGUAGCGAAUGGG
RNAcentral lists this ribosomal RNA (253 nucleotides) under uncultured bacterium. Its description in RNAcentral is "partial 16S ribosomal RNA". It matches the Rfam family "Bacterial small subunit ribosomal RNA", at positions 524 to 776 of the family's 1533-position model. The record is from RNAcentral.